RNAcentral lists this ribosomal RNA (253 nucleotides) under uncultured bacterium. RNAcentral describes it as "partial 16S ribosomal RNA". It matches the Rfam family "Bacterial small subunit ribosomal RNA", at positions 524 to 776 of the family's 1533-position model. The record is from RNAcentral.
UACGUAGGGGGCAAGCGUUGUCCGGAAUCAUUGGGCGUAAAGAGCGUGUAGGCGGCUCGAUAAGUCUGCUGUGAAAGUCCAGGGCUCAACCCUGGAAGGCCGGUGGAAACUGUCGGGCUAGAAUCCGGAAGAGGCGAGUGGAAUUCCCGGUGUAGCGGUGAAAUGCGCAGAUAUCGGGAGGAACACCAAUGGCGAAGGCAGCUCGCUGGGACGGUACUGACGCUGAGACGCGAAAGCGUGGGGAGCAAACAGG